RNAcentral lists this ribosomal RNA (508 nucleotides) under Travancoriana charu. RNAcentral's name for it is "partial 16S ribosomal RNA". It matches the Rfam family "Bacterial large subunit ribosomal RNA", at positions 1830 to 2589 of the family's 2925-position model. Lineage: Eukaryota; Metazoa; Arthropoda; Malacostraca; Decapoda; Gecarcinucidae. The record is from RNAcentral.
UCUAUUUGGAGAUAUAAGAAGUCUGGCCUGCCCMCUGAUAUAAAUGUUUAAGGGCCGCGGUAUUCUAACCGUGCAAAGGUAGCAUAAUCAUUAGGUUUUUAAAUGGAAUCUCGUAUGAAUGGUUGAACAAAAGAGAAGCUGUCUUUAUAUUAGGUUUAAAUUUAACUUUUAAGUGAGAAGGCUUAAAUGGUUUAGAGGGACGAUAAGACCCUAUAAAGCUUUACAUUGUAAUUAUAUUUUGUUGAAUUUGUAGUUUAAAAAUUUAAUUUAAUUAUUUGUUUUGUUGGGGAGACAAAGGUAAAAUUUAUAUUAACUGCUUGAAAAAAAAACAAUAAUGAGUGAUUAAAGUUAAUAGAUCCUAAAUAAAGAUUAAAAGAGUAAGUUACUUUAGGGAUAACAGUGUAAUUUUUUUUAAGAGUUCUUAUCGAAAAAAAAGUUUACAACCUCGAUGUUGAAUUAAAAUAUCUUUAUAAUGCAGCUGUUAUAAAAGAAGGUCUGUUCGACCUUU